UAGGGGGUCACAUUCUCCCCCCCCCCCCCCCCGCGCACUCUGCUUUCCCCAGCAGGUCACCUUCUCCCUCUCACACACACAGACACACACGCAUAAGUGGUGUCCCAUUCUCCCUCACAAACACUCACAAGUGCUGUCCCCUAGCGGGUCACACUCUCUCACACACACACAUAAGCAGUGUCCCCUAGGGGGUCACAUUCUCUCACACUCACACAUGUAAGCGGUGGCCCCUAGGGGGUCACAUUCACACACACACACACACACACACGCAAGUGGUGUCCCCUAGGGGGUCCCAUUCUCUUUCUCUCUCACACACACACACACACACAAGCGGUGUCCCCUAGGGGGAGGUCCCAUUCUCCCUCACAAACACGCACACACCCGAGUGCUGUCCCCUAGCGGGUCACCCACACACACGUCAGUGGUGUCCCCUGGGGGGGGGGGUCCCAUUCUCUGUCUCACCCGCGCACACCCGCAAACACACACACGCACGCACACGGACCGGCGCGGCCCUCCUCCCCCCGGCGGGUCCCCCCGCGGCCCUGCGGCGCCCGACCGGUCCCGCACAGGGUUAAAGGCACCGAGUUCCUCCUCCCGCCCGGCCUAGAGAGGCCGCGCCGCCCCGGCCCCGCCGCCCCGCCGCCCUCCCUCCCUCCCUCCCUCCCUCCCUCCCUGCCGCCGCCGCCGCCGGACACUUCCUGGGCCCGGGGGCCGCAGGGCCGCAAGGCCGCAAGGCCGGACCUCCUGCAGCUCGAGGGUCGUUGCUCCCCCGAGGGGCAAAGGGGAGCUCCUUGGAGGGGCCUCGGGAGAAAGCCCCCUCCCCGCCCCCCAGGACCGGCCGACCGUCCGUCCGUCCGUCCUCGCGCGGGGAUGGAGCAGCGGACGGCCCAACCGUGGGGGCCCGGCCCGCCGGCCCCGUGGACGGGCCUCGGGACGGCCGCUCAGGGAUCCUCGGCCACGAUGACGAGGAAGAAGACGACGAGGAGGAAGAGCGAGAGGUGGAGGGAAUAGAGGAGGAGGAAGAGGAGGCCGAGGAGAUAGCGGAAGAGGAGGAAGAGGCCGAGGACAUAGAGGAGGAGGAGGAGGAAGGUGAGGAAAUAGCGGAGGAGGAGGAGGAAGAGGCCGAGGACAUAGAGGAGGAGGAAGGUGAGGAAAUAGCGGAGGAGGAG
This 1169-nucleotide long non-coding RNA is filed under the name Ornithorhynchus anatinus (platypus). Its description in RNAcentral is "lncRNA (ENSOANG00000038189.1)". Lineage: Eukaryota; Metazoa; Chordata; Mammalia; Monotremata; Ornithorhynchidae. The record is from RNAcentral.